UACGUAGGGGGCGAGCGUUGUCCGAAGUUACUGGGCGUAAAGCGCGCGUAGGCGGAUUUGUAAGUCAGGGGUGAAAUCCCGGGGCUCAACCUCGGAACUGCCUUUGAUACUGCAAAUCUCGAGUCCGGAAGAGGUGAGUGGAAUUCCUAGUGUAGAGGUGAAAUUCGUAGAUAUUAGGAAGAACACCAGUGGCGAAGGCGGCUCACUGGUCCGGUACUGACGCUGAGGUGCGAAAGCGUGGGGAGCGAACAGG
Molecule: ribosomal RNA, 253 nt
Filed under: uncultured bacterium
Lineage: Bacteria
Description: partial 16S ribosomal RNA
Rfam family: Bacterial small subunit ribosomal RNA
Source: RNAcentral